This 862-nucleotide ribosomal RNA is filed under the name uncultured bacterium. RNAcentral's name for it is "bacterial SSU rRNA". It matches the Rfam family "Bacterial small subunit ribosomal RNA", at positions 9 to 860 of the family's 1533-position model. The record is from RNAcentral.
GAGUUUGAUCCUGGCUCAGGAUGAACGCUAGCGGCAGGCUUAACACAUGCAAGUCGAGGGGUAACAGGGAUUGCUUGCAAUCCGCUGACGACCGGCGCACGGGUGCGUAACGCGUAUGCAACCUACCUUUUACAAGGGGAUAGCCCAGAGAAAUUUGGAAUAAUACCCUAUACGAUCAUUAAUUGGCAUCAAUUAAUGAAGAAAACUCCGGUGGUAAAAGAUGGGCAUGCGUCCUAUUAGUUAGUUGGUAAGGUAACGGCUUACCAAGACUCCGAUAGGUAGGGGUCCUGAGAGGGAGAUCCCCCACACUGGUACUGAGACACGGACCAGACUCCUACGGGAGGCAGCAGUGAGGAAUAUUGGACAAUGGAGGCAACUCUGAUCCAGCCAUGCCGCGUGCAGGAAGACGGCCCUACGGGUUGUAAACUGCUUUUAUACAGGAAGAACUAUAUCUACGUGUAGAUAUUUGACGGUACUGUACGAAUAAGGAUCGGCUAACUCCGUGCCAGCAGCCGCGGUAAUACGGAGGAUCCAAGCGUUAUCCGGAAUCAUUGGGUUUAAAGGGUCCGUAGGCGGUCUAAUAAGUCAGAGGUGAAAUCCUACAGCUCAACUGUAGCAUUGCCUUUGAUACUGUUAGACUUGAGUUAUUGUGAAGUAGUUAGAAUGUGUAGUGUAGCGGUGAAAUGCAUAGAUAUUACACAGAAUACCGAUUGCGAAGGCAGAUUACUAACAAUAUACUGACGCUGAGGGACGAAAGCGUGGGUAGCGAACAGGAUUAGAUACCCUGGUAGUCCACGCCGUAAACGAUGGAUACUAGCUGUUCGAUCAACAUUGGUUGGGUUGAGUGGCUAAGCGAAAGUGA